CAGAAGAUAGUUUAAUUAAAAUAUUAAUUUUGGAGAUUAAAGUUGAGAAAUUCUCUUUUCUGA
RNAcentral lists this transfer RNA (63 nucleotides) under Disteniazteca fimbriata. Its description in RNAcentral is "tRNA-Pro". Lineage: Eukaryota; Metazoa; Arthropoda; Insecta; Coleoptera; Cerambycidae. The record is from RNAcentral.